GGGUGGCUGUUUGCUGUAGGAAUUUCAUUCUCGUUUGGAUACACGAAUUGUCACUGAUUUUCAGUUCACUCAGGUUCUUCUUGUGGUUAUUCCAAAUGGCACUGAUGCUGGAGGAAGAACUGCGGAGAGGGACCAUAUGGACCUCCAUUGCCUUUGCCACCGUCUUUCCCAUGCAUUGCAGCAGACUCUGUUGGGGCCCUGCCCAUAUCCUCUUGGCACUGGCUGUAUCUGUGCCCACCAGCCUGACUUUCAAUUUCAAGCACCUAUGAUUGCUGCCUGAGGGCUUUUGCUGCAGCCUGUCUGGGUAUAUGACAGCCUGGAGGUUUCAUGGAAUUUUUGCCCCCACCCACAGCCCUAGAGAACUCACCAGUGCGACCUGGCAAAUAAAUACCCCAGCCCUCAACCCUAA
Molecule: non-coding RNA, 409 nt
Organism: Macaca mulatta (Rhesus monkey)
Lineage: Eukaryota; Metazoa; Chordata; Mammalia; Primates; Cercopithecidae
Source: RefSeq, a predicted model, not a curated record